Non-coding RNA from Aedes aegypti (yellow fever mosquito), 73 nucleotides. NCBI's taxonomy places the organism in Eukaryota, Metazoa, Arthropoda, Insecta, Diptera, Culicidae. The record is from Rfam.
CCUCUCAUGGCGUAGUGGUAACGCGCCCCAACUAGAGAUUGGGGAGUCGUGAGUUCGAUUCUCACUGAGAAGA